RNAcentral lists this transfer RNA (76 nucleotides) under Deltaproteobacteria bacterium. Its description in RNAcentral is "tRNA-Met". It matches the Rfam family "tRNA". From Rfam's summary of the family: Transfer RNA (tRNA) molecules are approximately 80 nucleotides in length. Their secondary structure includes four short double-helical elements and three loops (D, anti-codon, and T loops). Lineage: Bacteria; Pseudomonadati; Myxococcota; Myxococcia. The record is from RNAcentral.
GGGCCCAUAGCUCAGUUGGCAGAGCUGCCGGCUCAUAACCGGUCGGUCCCUGGUUCGAGUCCAGGUGGGCCCACCG